UACGUAGGUGGCAAGCGUUAUCCGGAAUUAUUGGGCGUAAAGCGCGCGCAGGCGGUUUCUUAAGUCUGAUGUGAAAGCCCACGGCUCAACCGUGGAGGGUCAUUGGAAACUGGGGAACUUGAGUGCAGAAGAGAAAAGCGGAAUUCCACGUGUAGCGGUGAAAUGCGUAGAGAUGUGGAGGAACACCAGUGGCGAAGGCGGCUUUUUGGUCUGUAACUGACGCUGAGGCGCGAAAGCGCGGGGAGCGAACAGG
RNAcentral lists this ribosomal RNA (253 nucleotides) under uncultured bacterium. Its description in RNAcentral is "partial 16S ribosomal RNA". It matches the Rfam family "Bacterial small subunit ribosomal RNA", at positions 524 to 776 of the family's 1533-position model. The record is from RNAcentral.